GUAUUUUUUUUUUUUAGUCUUAUGGAAAGGUUAUUUUGGUAUAAAAUAAUUAAGUCGGGAUUCAAUUUUCAAUCCGGGGUACGAGGCCGGAUUCGUUUCGACCCGGAUUAGUCCAUUCCCAUUCCGGAAUAGAAACGAAAUCGGAAUGAGAUUACGGCAUAUCAAACGUCUAGAAUCGGAAUGGAUCAUUCCGAUUCCGAUUCCGGGAUUAAUAUUUAGCGAACCAAACACGCCCUAAUUUAGUUGUUAUUAUAGCAUCUAGUUGUUAUUAUAGCACCUUAUAAAUAGGUUCUCUUACUUAGAACCCUAACCACAACCACUUUCUCCUCUCCAUCACUCUCGCUCUCUUUCUUAUCUCUCUAGAAGAAAAGAGGUGCUGUUGUCCCUCUUUUUGGAGGUUGGGAAUCCGUCUUCUCCAAGCUUGAAAAAGGUGGAGAGCUUCAAGAGGAAGAUCUAGGAGGAAGAACUCUCUCCCACAUUUGGAUUGCAAAAAGAGAAGUAAGUUGGCAUUUUAGGAUUUUGGUUUUAUGAUUUUUCCAAAUGAGAAUAUUUUAGAACCAUUUUUAAAAUUUUUUUGGUGUUUUCAAGAGAGUUAGGUCAUUUCUUUGUUGAAGAUCCAACCCAGGUGGUGAAUAUCACUAAAAAAAAGUUUGAUCUUCCCUUUAUCUUUAGAACUUUUGGAUUAUUAGCAUGUAUUAUUGGUAAUAAUUAAACUAAAUGUAAUUUUAGUUACAUGCUAGAAAAAUAGAAUUUUCGACCCGGGCGGAAAGGCCUCAGCGGCACGGAGGAGUCAGAAAUCCCCUUCCUCCAUGUUAUCCACCUAUUGCACAUUCUACGAGGUGCUAUCGUCAGUUUUUCUAAGUUAAUCUGCAUAAAAAAAGCCAAAACUUGCAAUUCAAAUUUAGCGUGAACAAGAUAAAAUAAAAACAUUACACCAUAUUCCUUCAAACUAUUUAUACUAGGGCCAUGUUUGAAGCACCGGAUUAGCACGGGAUUGGAUUAAACUUAAUCCGAUCUAGUUUUGAUCUGGUAUUUGGGUGUGAGAUAGCAUGGGAUUACUCAGAUCUGGUCUAGCCCAACUAUCUUGCUCACAUGGCAUUAGUCAAUCCCGUGGUGAGGGACGAGAUUAUUCCAACUAAUUAAGAUGUUUCACCUGUCAGCUGGUUCACUUCUCUUUUCUUAUCUCUUCUGCUCUCGUCCAUAGUUAGUUAAUUCGCGAAUUAUUUACGAAUUUUAAAAAAUUUGAAUAAAAUAGUCCAUAUGCAAUUUAUUCUCAAAAAUUCAUAGUAAAACGUGAAUUUUUGGGUUAAAUUUAUUAUUCGCGAAUAAUUCAUGUAUACUGAACUAUUCGUCUAAAAAAACACACAGAAUUUGUGGAUAAAAUUCCUUUCUCCAUUAUUCACGAAUUAUUAUCGAAUUAUUUGCAAAUUAUUCACGAGUUAUUGAAAAACUUCAUGGACUUUUGGAAUAUGUUGAUCGUGAAAAAGAUAAAGAAGAAAACGGCAGUGAACUUUGAAAUUGCUCAUUUUACUUAAUCUGUUUUAUUUUGUACCUCUCUAUUUUUAUAUUUUUUUAACUAUUUAUAUUAAUAGCAUAAAUCUAGAGAAAAAAUUAAAUUUAAUAACCGAAUUUUUUGUCCUAAAUUUUUAAUUAUUGAAUGUAUAAUUUUCAUAUAAAUUACGUAACUAAAUAAUUGGUGAACCAUUUUUUAAGCCGUAUUUUUUAACUUAUUUAAAAGGGUUAAUUUCAUACAUGUCCUUGCAAACAUGGUGAAUAGCAGAUAUAUAUUCUACAAAGUUCAACUUUCAUAAGUUAUCCCUGCAGAAUCCCUAAUGUAUUCAGAUAUGUCUCUACCGUUAAAAUCUGUUAGAGAAAUCUAGUUAACCACAGUUAAAAUACUUAACCAUGAUUAGUUAAUAAGAUAAAAUGGCAUUUUUACCCUUCUUCCUCUUCCCCUUCCUCUUUUUCCUCUACUUCUUCUUCCUCUUCCUCUUCCUCUCCUGCUUCUUCUCCUUCCUCUUCUUCUUCGUAUCCUCAUUUUCCUCCUCCUUUUCUCCUCCUCCUUCUUCUUCGUUGUCGUCGUCGAUGAUCCAAUCGUCGUCACCGUCGUGGUGCCCUCGUGGGCCGUCGACACGGGCGCCUCCGACGGCAUCGGCCGCGCCUUCGCCUUCCGCCUCUUCCUUGUCCUCGUUCGCCGCAACCCCGACAAGCUCCCCAAUGCCGCCGUCGCCGCCGUCACCAUCCGCUCCCACAUCCUGAAGAGGAAGAUGAAAAUGGAGAGGGCAAGGGCAAAAUAGUCAUUUCACAACUCUACUGUUAAAAAAUUAACAGUUCUCUAAUAGAUUCUAACCAGAGGGACAUAUCUGAAUAUAUUAGGGCUUUUGCAGGAAUAACUUAUGAAAGUUGAACUUUGCAGGAAUAUAUCUGUUAUUCGUCAUAUUUGUGGGGACCUGUAUGAAAUUAACCCUAUUUAAAAAUUGGGAUACAAAUUUAUUAUACCUAUACUACAUUUUUGCCAAAUCCGAAUUAACUAACGAUGCUCUCCUGUUUAGGCAUGCGCAUCCUCUACUCCUAAUUCAAAUUUAAAAUUGAAAUCUACAAUUUGAGUUUUAUUGAAAUUCAAUUUUAUAUUAUAUGUUCAAAAAUUAAAUAAAAUAUCUUUAAACCAAAGCUUGUCAUUUAAAGCUUGAAUUUGAAUUGAAAUCUAACCAUUAUGAGGUAGCUAAUGAGACAUCCUUGAUGGAAUGUGCAAUUUGUUCAAAAUUGAAUUCAAAUUUUUUAAGAAUUUCAAUUUUGAAAGCACAAUUUGAAUUUAAAAUUUUAUUUUGAGUUUUCAUUUCAUUUCAAGUUGUGAAUUAUUAUAUUUUGAAAUACAAGUUUGAUAUGAUGUAUUAAGUAACUUUUAAGAAAGAAAUUUUGAAAAGUGAAUUCAAUUUAGAAUUUAAAUAGUUUGUUCUAAGGGGGAAAAAAAUUAGAGUCCAAUCCUGCCUCUUAUCCUAGACACACCAAACAUAGGAUUGGAUUUAUUAUUAUUAUUAUUAUUAUUAUUAUUAUUAUUUUAAGAGAAAGCAAUAGGCAUAAGACCUGCAUUAUAUUAAAAAGAGUAAAAUUUACAUAGGAUUGACUUCUAAUUAUCCAAUUCAAUCCUAACUCUAUCCCUAUCCAAUCCUCUUUAAUUAUCCUAUAUAUCCAAUCCAAUCACAGAUGCCAAAUAUGUCCUAUAACUUUACAUAUCUAAUAAUAGUCAUCCUCCAAUUGAGCCUAUAAAUUAAUAUUAGGAUGAAGUUUGGGCAUGAGCUCUAAAUUUAAGCUCACAUAGGAACUCAAACUCGUAACCUCGUGCUCGGAAGUCAAUUAGUAUAUCAUUAGACAGCUAGCGGUUUGGUGAUUUUGGGAGUGAUUUUGACUCCAUUAGAGUCACAUCUAAAAUUUCAUAUUGUCUGGCAAAUUCACACUACAUGUUAAUGCAUGUAUUAACAGUUUGUUAGAGCAACAUAAACUAUGAAAAAUCUAUAGUCCUAUUGCCUUAUUCUUGUACGAAAUGACCACUCAGUCGUAAAACUGUUGUUGCAUAUAUAUAACUCCAAUCAGUAGAGCAGAAAAUAUCUUUUUCUAGGUGAAAAGAGAAAAAGAAAACAAACUAUCCGUUUCGUUCAUCUUUCUUAGAAAUGAACUCGACUAGUACGAACUAGUUAGAAUUUGAACUCCGAAUCAUGAGUGUCAACAAUUUUAAGUCAUUAACUAAUUUGGCGUUUGGAAGUGAAAUAUAUGCACAGUUGAAUGUCACCGACAAAAUAUUUUCCGCUAACUUCUUCUUGACAGUGGCUCAAUCUCCAAAGAAGCAUUCUAUCGGAGGUUGCUGGGGCGCUCUAGAAGUUUCUACGCAGAUCUCAAAACUAUAGCUGCGGAUGCUAAAGGGUUAAGAGUCCCUUAGAGUUUCUACGUAGGCAAUAAUUAUUGUCUCUUGGGAGCUUGUAGCCUCCCUAUUUGCCAUGUAAUUAUGCGCCAUUUGGCGCCUUUUCAUUUGUAGCCUGGGUAUAGAGUGGCCUAUAUAAGUUUGUGGCCUCCGCCCCCUCAGAAAAUCAGUUGUGCUCUCAACUUUUAUCAAUACACAAGAUUCCUCAACUCUCUCUCUCUCUCUCUCUCUCUCUCUCUCUCUCUCUCUCUCUUAUACUUAGUUUAGGGCGAAUAGUGUUCGCUUAAAUGGGCCAGCAUCCUGCCCUGUGGCGGGAGGCCAUGUGGGCCGAGUCAUGUUCGAAAUGGCAUGAGCCUGGGUUGGGCCGAGUCAUGUUCGAAGUGGCGUGAGGCCAGGUGGGCCGAGUCACAAGAGUACUCGAAAAUAAUGUUGGCUAUCUCCAACAUAGCCGAUGAGGAUCAGCUAUUCUUUUU
RNAcentral lists this long non-coding RNA (4389 nucleotides) under Ananas comosus (pineapple). RNAcentral's name for it is "long non-coding RNA (ACOM_LNC005814)". Lineage: Eukaryota; Viridiplantae; Streptophyta; Magnoliopsida; Poales; Bromeliaceae. The record is from RNAcentral.